UAGUGAUACGCUGCGGCGAAAGAUAUAAGCCAUGCAUAUGUCAGUAUAAGCGUUAAUAUCGUGAGACUGUGAACGGCUCAUUAGGCUCAGUUAUAGUUUAUUUGAUAAUGGUGCCUCGAUUAUGUGGGCGCAAAAUUUUUAAUUGGAUAACCGUAGUAAUUCUAGAGCUAAUACAUGCAUAGAACUGGUCUGACUGGGGUUGUAAAAAAACUCUGGAAGGAUUGUAUUUAUUAGAAAGAAAGAAAAUUCAAUGUUUUUAAAAGCGUGAAUGAUAAUAA
RNAcentral lists this ribosomal RNA (278 nucleotides) under uncultured eukaryote. RNAcentral describes it as "partial 18S ribosomal RNA". It matches the Rfam family "Eukaryotic small subunit ribosomal RNA", at positions 21 to 259 of the family's 1831-position model. The record is from RNAcentral.